CCCGGUACCGCAAACCGACACAGGUAGGCAGGGUGAGAAUCCCAAGGCGCUUGAGAGAACUCGGGUGAAGGAACUAGGCAGAAUGGCACCGUAACUUCGGGAGAAGGUGCGCCUCUUGGUGUGGUCACGUGCGUGACUGAGCAUCGAGGGGUCGCAGUAACCUGGCCGCUGCGACUGUUUAUCAAAAACACAGCACUCUGCAAACACGAAAGUGGACGUAUAGGGUGUGACGCCUGCCCGGUGCUGGAAGGUUAAUUGAUGGGGUCAGCCGCAAGGCGAAGCUCUUGAUCGAAGCCCCAGUAAACGGCGGCCGUAACUAUAACGGUCCUAAGGUAGCGAAAUUCCUUGUCGGGUAAGUUCCGACCUGCACGAAUGGCGUAACGACAGCGGCGCUGUCUCCACCCGAGACUCAGUGAAAUUGAAAUCGCUGUGAAGAUGCAGCGUUCCCGCGGCAAGACGGAAAGACCCCGUGAACCUUUACUAUAGCUUUACACUGAACGUUGAGUUCUUCUGUGUAGGAUAGGUGGGAGGCUAUGAAACCAGGACGCUAGUUCUGGUGGAGCCAUCCUUGAAAUACCACCCUGAAGUGCUUGACGUUCUAACCUAGGUCCGUAAUCCGGAUCGGGGACCGUGUAUGGUGGGUAGUUUGACUGGGGCGGUCUCCUCCCAAAGAGUAACGGAGGAGCACGAAGGUACGCUCAGCGCGGUCGGACAUCGCGCACUGUGUGCAAAGGCAUAAGCGUGCUUGACUGCGAGAUCGACGGAUCAAGCAGGUACGAAAGUAGGUCUUAGUGAUCCGGUGGUUCUGUAUGGAAGGGCCAUCGCUCAACGGAUAAAAGGUACUCCGGGGAUAACAGGCUGAUACCGCCCAAGAGUUCAUAUCGACGGCGGUGUUUGGCACCUCGAUGUCGGCUCAUCACAUCCUGGGGCUGUAGCCGGUCCCAAGGGUAUGGCUGUUCGCCAUUUAAAGUGGUACGCGAGCUGGGUUCAGAACGUCGUGAGACAGUUCGGUCCCUAUCUGUCGUGGGCGUUGGAGAUUUGAGGGGGGCUGCUCCUAGUACGAGAGGACCGGAGUGGACGUUCCGCUGGUGUUCGGGUUGUCAUGCCCAUGGCAUUGCCCGGUAGCUACGAACGGAAGUGAUAACCGCUGAAAGCAUCUAAGCGGGAAGCACGCCCCAAGAUGAGAUCUCCCGAGAGCUUGACUCUCCUAAAGGCACCAUCAAGACUAGGUGGUUGAUAGGCACGGUGUGGAAGUGCAGCAAUGCAUUGAGCUUACGUGUACUAAUGAGCCGUGAGGCUUGACCU
This 1305-nucleotide ribosomal RNA is filed under the name metagenome. RNAcentral describes it as "bacterial LSU rRNA". It matches the Rfam family "Bacterial large subunit ribosomal RNA", at positions 1640 to 2925 of the family's 2925-position model. The record is from RNAcentral.